AACGGGUGAGUAACACGUGGGUAACCCACCCCGAUGACCGGGACAACCCGAGGAAACUCGGGCUAAUACCGGAUGUGCUCCUUGACCUUGAGGUCAAGGCGUAAAGAUAGCUUCGGCCUUCGCAUCGGGACGGGCCCGCGGCCCAUUAGCUUGUUGGUGGGGUAAAGGCCUACCAAGGCGACGAUGGGUAGCUGGUCUGAGAGGACGAUCAGCCACACUGGGACUGAGACACGGCCCAGACUCCUACGGGAGGCAGCAGUGGGGAAUCUUGCGCAAUGCGCGAAAGCGUGACGCAGCAACGCCGCGUGGGGGAAGAAGGCCUUCGGGUUGUAAACCCCUUUCAGUUGGGACGAAGCUUCGUCGGUGAAUAGCCGGCUGGAGUGACGGUACCUUCACAAGAAGCCCCGGCUAACUACGUGCCAGCAGCCGCGGUAAUACGUAGGGGGCUAGCGUUGUCCGGAAUCAUUGGGCGUAAAGCGCGUGUAGGCGGUCCGGUAAGUCCGCUGUGAAAGUCGAGGGCUCAACCCUCGAAUGCCGGUGGAUACUGUCGGGCUAGA
Molecule: ribosomal RNA, 557 nt
Filed under: uncultured bacterium
Lineage: Bacteria
Description: bacterial SSU rRNA
Rfam family: Bacterial small subunit ribosomal RNA
Source: RNAcentral